This is a long non-coding RNA of Triticum dicoccoides, 3684 nucleotides long. RefSeq lists it as uncharacterized. The record is from RefSeq and is a predicted model, not a curated record. NCBI's taxonomy places the organism in Eukaryota, Viridiplantae, Streptophyta, Magnoliopsida, Poales, Poaceae. The transcript has 5 exons.
ACUAUUAAAAGAACUAGAAAGACUAAUUAGUCCUCCCUUAUGAACACACCAACCCUAGGUAGGUGGAGACCUCACUUGGAAAGCUUCUUGAUGUCUUGAGCGAAUACAAACUGUCCAUUAUCUUUCCCUAAUAAUAAAGCAGCUAUUGCUUUUGCCCGCGUGCUCACCGCCGCAGCUGUUUUGCAAAAAGCCCUUCUGUUGUUUGGUAAUUUAACCCGCGUCCCUUUUCAAGUGGAUCUGGAAAAACGCUUCGUUUUUACAAAAAGCCCCUCUAAUAAAGUAAAACAACCAAACCUACCCUCGGCCUCCUCCCCUGCUCUGCCAUCGCCCGCAGAAGCCCACCCAAGCCCUCGCUCGCUCGCCGAGAUUCAUGGCGACCGAUGCGGCUGGGAGCGAACGCGCACGGGUGGGGGAGUUCGGCGAGCUCUUGCGGACCUGCUGGCCAUCGUGUGAGCCAGCAACCGCCGCUGCCGCCAGCAGCAGAAGCAGGGGGCGCGGGCGGAGAUCCCUUCGUGGGGCCGGCAUCGGCCGAGGAAGGCCCCGAUGGCGCUGCCGGAUGAGAAGCCCGCGGCCGAUGAUGAUAGGAGCGAGGGCAUCGCCAGCCCGGACACCCCGCUCGCCUUCCCCGAGGACGACGAGCAUGACGAGGCGGCGGCGGCAAAGGAUGAGGCCAAGGCCAGCGCACAAGACAAGUGGUCGAGGUGGAGCUAUAGGCCACCAAGGUUGCCUAUGUCGUGGGAUGAGGAAGAGGAUGGCGAAUGGGAGACACCGAAGAUUGACAACACUACUCCCCAAGUGUGAAGAGGCACCUGGUUGUGGUGAAUGGAAGAGGCCGAUGAAGCAGAAUCCGUCCAACAAAGAGAAGUGGCAUGCGCCCCUGAUUGACAAACCCAGAUGUUCUAAUGUAUCAAACGAUGCCAUGAUAGUUGGCAAUCAUGCUUCAAGUAUGAAAUCAGCUCAACCAUCUCCAAUAGUCUUCUUUCUUGCUAUCCAGGUCUUAAAAGAGCAGAAAAUCUUUGAACAAGGGGUGGAUGGGAGUACACAGUUUGGUCCCCUGUGCAGAAUAAAACAGUUUUAUGAUACAUAAGCUACAAUUUUCAGAACUGAAACACAGGAUUGCGCUGCCUUGCCCUGCCCGAUCGACGCCGGCUACAUCGCUACACUCCCCAUGGCCAGGUAAGCGCCUAGGCCAAGUAACAAGUUAUCACAUCUUCGUGAUCCAAUUAAAUGUGCCAAUGGACAAGUACGUACCAUCCUACAGAUAUUGUUGUCAUUGUUCUUCUAUUGUCAGUACGACAAAAAAAUUAGAAUUCAUCCAGUCCACGCCCUCCUCCUUAGUGCACGAUGGUGAUGUGUGUGUGUGUUGUGGUCAGCUUGCAGUGCCAGAUAGUUCACAGUCCCAACUCCAGUGUUAACUCUGUUAGUCUGUUGCACCUCUUGUAUUUCAAAUUUAGUUGGAACUGUAGAUUUGAGUUUACCAUUUUUGUAGAUGCCACGGGAAUUCAGAGAAUCCUAGAAACUUCUAUGUGGUGCAAACAAGUUUUAGUAGUAAGCUAUAGGUUUUUCAUAUAGGUUUUCCCCUACAAAAUAUUUACUUAGGUUAAGAGGUUGUAUGAUUGGAUUCAGCCUGGAAACUUUUGUGCAGGACCAUAGCUUCACCCCAAAUUGCUCUAUUAUGCUCGGCUCCAUGUAUUCACCCUUUCUAAUAUAUAGCUAAAUUUAAAUGCUUCUAUCAUCAUUUUGCCAAUGUUACUCUCCAUUACUUUAUGCACAAAUUAGCUCAUAGCUGUAUUUCCGAGUUCUAGGAUGCUAGAUUUUUUUUCUGUUGACAAUCUUGUUUAUUUUUUGUUCAUUUAGCUAUCAUGUUUUUUAUUUGCGAUAGAAUACUGAAAGAGUUUGUUCACUCCAUGAUGAUAUAAAUAGGAAAAAUCUUGUCAUUAUGCCCUCCAACAUUAGCAACAUAUAACCCUUGUUCUGGUUUAUUUUCAAGAUGGUAAGCUACGCACGCUCUUGCUGUUCGCAGGAUUGCAUUCACCAAUCUAAUGCCCUCAUUGUUGGUUUUGGCCAGCUAUCUGAGCUAAUGCAGAAGCAUGAUAUGUUGCCAAUCCUUGUGUCCUUUGCAUCUUCAUGCUCAUCGCAAGUAGUUAGUCUCCUAUUUUAUGGUAAUAUUCUGAUCUUUUUAUGUGAUUUCAGAUGCUAUAUAAGGAACGUGCGUAGGCUGAGGAUUCUAAGCUAGCCACCUUGUUUUCCUCACAUGGGGAUAUUGAUGUAUGAUGCGGGAGAUAGAAGUCUUGUCCAUGGCCUUUUGAUUGAUGCAAAAUUUAUUCGAUGUUGUAGUAGGGACAUGCCUGAUUCACGCAAUUCCAAUGACUACUUUUUGAAAGUUAUGUUUCUGUAAUAUUUGAGCUUAUGUCUACACUUAAAUGAAGAGCAUCAGAUAUUUGUAAACCAUUAUUUUGCUUAGAAAGGUUCCUACAUAAAAAGAAUCCACUUAAGAAAGCAGAGUCGUUCGUGUGCUUCAUAUAAGCUAUAUACAUGCCAUCUCACCAAGCACUAUUAACAUGUUCUUUUUUCAAGAGAGCAUAUAUGUUUCUUCUUUUGUCACCAUGUCUUCACGAGCAGCCGUAACCCACACGCUCCUCAUUUCCUAGGUACAUAUUCUUCCUGCAUGUACCUCAGUGCAUGAUUUUCCUGUACAUGGAGCCAUUCAUUGGAAAUGCCUUCUCUUACACCUUGUGAUGGUGCAGACUUUGCAAGUGUUCAAAGAAAUGAUGUGCUAUUCAAGGGGUUUGGGAGCACUAAUAAAGAAUCUCUUGCUGAACUUUUUGUACCGCUAAUGAGUCAAGUCGUCCCUCUGCAUCCCGAACUCCAAAAUGAGCAAGUCAGAGACUAACUCUAUAAAGGACAGCCUGGGAUGAAUGGUGUACUUUUGCAGCUCUAAAACAAAUGAGAAGGGAAAUUCAAGAAAUCAAGGGGAGUUGUGGACUGGGUGGAGAUGACAAGAGGGCUGCACGAGUUAAGUAAGUGGCAGCAGAGGUUACUGAAUGCCGCAAAGCAUCGUGGAAUAAGUGGACAAGCAAGCAGUUUCUACCAGCUUUAACUGCUCAUAGCUGAGAGAGGAUAUCUUCUCUAGAGGAUUUGCUAAUAUAGUACACCACAGCUUAGCUACAGCAACUGUGUCACCCACUGGAGGUUGACAACCCCGACCUAAAUUGGCAGUGGGGCACAGAACACUGGGCUAGUGUGCUGACUGAUCCCGUUUGCCACUAUAGAGAUGUUUCCAGCAAUGGUAUGUCUACCAGAACCAAUCGCAAUGGGUUAACAUGGAUGGAGGAAGAGAAGGUUCACUGAAUAGGGUGUAACUCUUUUAAAGAGCCAGCAUGUCGUCCAUGCUCAACUGUCAGAACUCACAAAGUUAACUCAUUGUUUACAGUAGCUAUAGAGACAUAGAAUAGAUUUGUGCACAAAGAAAAGACGCAGCAUAAGGAUACCUAAAAGGAUCAAACAGAAGGGAGAUUAGAAAAGGUUAUGUAGGAAGCUCACAUGAUCCUAUGACCACAAAGAUGAAGAAUCCAAGCACGAUAGGUCCAACAGGAUAGUCAUUCCCCUUCUUCACAGUAGUUUCAGGCACUGAGCCCCUCUUUGUGACGUUCUUCUGAAACUUCGCACUCUUCCUGUCAGCAA